RNAcentral lists this ribosomal RNA (391 nucleotides) under uncultured bacterium. Its description in RNAcentral is "partial 16S ribosomal RNA". It matches the Rfam family "Bacterial small subunit ribosomal RNA", at positions 523 to 917 of the family's 1533-position model. The record is from RNAcentral.
AUACGGAGGAUCCGAGCGUUAUCCGGAUUUAUUGGGUUUAAAGGGUGCGCAGGCGGCCAUUUAAGUCAGCGGUUAAAUCGUGGGGCUCAACCCCAUUCUGCCGUUGAUACUGGGUGGCUUGAUUGCGGUCGAGGUUGGCGGAAUUCGUUGUGUAGCGGUGAAAUGCAUAGAUAUGACGAAGAACACCGAUUGCGUAGGCAGCUGACCAGACCGCAAAUGACGCUCAUGCACGAAAGUGCGGGGAUCGAACAGGAUUAGAUACCCUGGUAGUCCGCACAGUAAACGAUGAAUACUUGUUUUCGGCGAUAUAAUGUCGGAGGCAAAGCGAAAGCGAUAAGUAUUCCACCUGGGGAGUACGCCGGCAACGGCGAAACUCAAAGGAAUUGACGGG